Molecule: ribosomal RNA, 457 nt
Filed under: uncultured bacterium
Lineage: Bacteria
Description: bacterial SSU rRNA
Rfam family: Bacterial small subunit ribosomal RNA
Source: RNAcentral
GACGAACGCUGGCGGCGCGCCUAACACAUGCAAGUCGAACGGAGCUUAGAGAGCUUGCUUUUUAAGCUUAGUGGCGAACGGGUGAGUAACGCGUGAGUAACCUGCCCUAGAGUGGGGGACAACAGUUGGAAACGACUGCUAAUACCGCAUAAGCCCACGGUGCCGCAUGACACUGAGGGAAAAGGAUUUAUUCGCUUUAGGAUGGACUCGCGUCCAAUUAGCUAGUUGGUGAGGUAACGGCCCACCAAGGCGACGAUUGGUAGCCGGACUGAGAGGUUGAACGGCCACAUUGGGACUGAGACACGGCCCAGACUCCUACGGGAGGCAGCAGUGGGGGAUAUUGCACAAUGGGGGAAACCCUGAUGCAGCGACGCCGCGUGGAGGAAGAAGGUUUUCGGAUUGUAAACUCCUGUCGUUAGGGACGAUAAUGACGGUACCUAACAAGAAAGCACCGGCU